Non-coding RNA from Lolium perenne, 519 nucleotides. The record is from RefSeq and is a predicted model, not a curated record. Lineage: Eukaryota; Viridiplantae; Streptophyta; Magnoliopsida; Poales; Poaceae.
GCUAUAAAGAUAUUUGAACAGUAAUUUAAACAUUCUCAUAAAUGCAACCUUGAAAUAAUUGUCGGUCUAUAAAAGUAAUCACAAAGGAGAUUCGUAGGAAAGACCCCAAAUAGGUGACCAAAGAGACCUCAAAAGUACCAAUAGUCUCUUCUAGCAAUAUGGCACUCAACACUAGCAAAACAAGGUUGAUUGUCUGCAAAACUGCAAUUGCUCUCCUUGUUGUUGUGAUGAUGUGUUCUAUGUUGCCAUCAUCUCAUGCAGUUGGACCAUGGAGGUGCGAGACUUUAAAGGAUUGCACUUCUCCGUCGUGCCACUCUCAUUGCAAAAAAGGAAAACAUUUUGGUCACAAGAUUGGUUCCAUGUGCACCGGUAAGGAUGGGUGUUGCUGCGGAAAAAAGAGUGCGAUGCAAAAAUGACAUCACCGGUGGUGAUCAUGCUUGUGUAAAUCAAUAUGAAUAAAAUCAUUUCUUGUAAAUGAUCAAUAUGCAUUUUAUGCAUUAAUAAAUCUUAAUUUCGUAA